CCGAGUUCUCAGCAGCUCCCAACCCGUGUGAACCGUACCCCCUUCUGUUCUCGUUGCUUCCGGCGGGGGCCCUCCAGGCUUGCUUGCCUGGGGCGCCCGCCGGGGGCGGCCUGCCCCUGAACCUUCUACAAGAAAACCCGUCUCCGGACUGUCUGAGUGGAUUUCUAGCAAAUCAAAUCA
RNAcentral lists this unclassified non-coding RNA (180 nucleotides) under uncultured fungus. RNAcentral's name for it is "sequence contains ITS1, 5.8S rRNA gene". The record is from RNAcentral. Lineage: Eukaryota; Fungi.